Molecule: ribosomal RNA, 2771 nt
Filed under: Klebsiella pneumoniae
Lineage: Bacteria; Pseudomonadati; Pseudomonadota; Gammaproteobacteria; Enterobacterales; Enterobacteriaceae
Description: bacterial LSU rRNA
Rfam family: Bacterial large subunit ribosomal RNA
Source: RNAcentral
AGCGUACACGGUGGAUGCCCUGGCAGUCAGAGGCGAUGAAGGACGUGCUAAUCUGCGAAAAGCGUCGGUAAGGUGAUAUGAACCGUUAUAACCGGCGAUGUCCGAAUGGGGAAACCCAGUGCAAUUCGUUGCACUAUCGUUAACUGAAUACAUAGGUUAACGAGGCGAACCGGGGGAACUGAAACAUCUAAGUACCCCGAGGAAAAGAAAUCAACCGAGAUUCCCCCAGUAGCGGCGAGCGAACGGGGAGCAGCCCAGAGUCUGAAUCAGCUUGUGUGUUAGUGGAACGGUCUGGAAAGUCCGACGGUACAGGGUGAUAGUCCCGUACACCAAAAUGCACAGGUUGUGAACUCGAAGAGUAGGGCGGGACACGUGGUAUCCUGUCUGAAUAUGGGGGGACCAUCCUCCAAGGCUAAAUACUCCUGACUGACCGAUAGUGAACCAGUACCGUGAGGGAAAGGCGAAAAGAACCCCGGCGAGGGGAGUGAAAAAGAACCUGAAACCGUGUACGUACAAGCAGUGGGAGCACCUUCGGGUGUGACUGCGUACCUUUUGUAUAAUGGGUCAGCGACUUAUAUUCUGUAGCAAGGUUAACCGUAUAGGGGAGCCGCAGGGAAACCGAGUCUUAACUGGGCGUUAAGUUGCAGGGUAUAGACCCGAAACCCGGUGAUCUAGCCAUGGGCAGGUUGAAGGUUGGGUAACACUAACUGGAGGACCGAACCGACUAAUGUUGAAAAAUUAGCGGAUGACUUGUGGCUGGGGGUGAAAGGCCAAUCAAACCGGGAGAUAGCUGGUUCUCCCCGAAAGCUAUUUAGGUAGCGCCUCGUGAACUCAUCUUCGGGGGUAGAGCACUGUUUCGGCUAGGGGGUCAUCCCGACUUACCAACCCGAUGCAAACUACGAAUACCGAAGAAUGUUAUCACGGGAGACACACGGCGGGUGCUAACGUCCGUCGUGAAGAGGGAAACAACCCAGACCGCCAGCUAAGGUCCCAAAGUCAUGGUUAAGUGGGAAACGAUGUGGGAAGGCACAGACAGCCAGGAUGUUGGCUUAGAAGCAGCCAUCAUUUAAAGAAAGCGUAAUAGCUCACUGGUCGAGUCGGCCUGCGCGGAAGAUGUAACGGGGCUAAACCAUGCACCGAAGCUGCGGCAGCGACACUAUGUGUUGUUGGGUAGGGGAGCGUUCUGUAAGCCUGCGAAGGUGUGCUGUGAGGCAUGCUGGAGGUAUCAGAAGUGCGAAUGCUGACAUAAGUAACGAUAAAGCGGGUGAAAAGCCCGCUCGCCGGAAGACCAAGGGUUCCUGUCCAACGUUAAUCGGGGCAGGGUGAGUCGACCCCUAAGGCGAGGCCGAAAGGCGUAGUCGAUGGGAAACAGGUUAAUAUUCCUGUACUUGGUGUUACUGCGAAGGGGGGACGGAGAAGGCUAUGUUAGCCGGGCGACGGUUGUCCCGGUUUAAGCAUGUAGGCUGGUUGUCCAGGCAAAUCCGGAUAAUCAAGGCUGAGGUGUGAUGACGAGGCACUACGGUGCUGAAGUAACAAAUGCCCUGCUUCCAGGAAAAGCCUCUAAGCAUCAGGUAACAUUAAAUCGUACCCCAAACCGACACAGGUGGUCAGGUAGAGAAUACCAAGGCGCUUGAGAGAACUCGGGUGAAGGAACUAGGCAAAAUGGUGCCGUAACUUCGGGAGAAGGCACGCUGGUGUGUAGGUGAAGCCCCUGCGGGUGGAGCUGAGACCAGUCGAAGAUACCAGCUGGCUGCAACUGUUUAUUAAAAACACAGCACUGUGCAAACACGAAAGUGGACGUAUACGGUGUGACGCCUGCCCGGUGCCGGAAGGUUAAUUGAUGGGGUUAUCCGUAAGGAGAAGCUCUUGAUCGAAGCCCCGGUAAACGGCGGCCGUAACUAUAACGGUCCUAAGGUAGCGAAAUUCCUUGUCGGGUAAGUUCCGACCUGCACGAAUGGCGUAAUGAUGGCCAGGCUGUCUCCACCCGAGACUCAGUGAAAUUGAACUCGCUGUGAAGAUGCAGUGUACCCGCGGCAAGACGGAAAGACCCCGUGAACCUUUACUAUAGCUUGACACUGAACAUUGAGCCUUGAUGUGUAGGAUAGGUGGGAGGCUUUGAAGCGUGGACGCCAGUCUGCGUGGAGCCAACCUUGAAAUACCACCCUUUAAUGUUUGAUGUUCUAACGUUGGCCCCUGACCGGGGUUGCGGACAGUGUCUGGUGGGUAGUUUGACUGGGGCGGUCUCCUCCCAAAGCGUAACGGAGGAGCACGAAGGUUAGCUAAUCCUGGUCGGACAUCAGGAGGUUAGUGCAAUGGCAUAAGCUAGCUUGACUGCGAGCGUGACGGCGCGAGCAGGUGCGAAAGCAGGUCAUAGUGAUCCGGUGGUUCUGAAUGGAAGGGCCAUCGCUCAACGGAUAAAAGGUACUCCGGGGAUAACAGGCUGAUACCGCCCAAGAGUUCAUAUCGACGGCGGUGUUUGGCACCUCGAUGUCGGCUCAUCACAUCCUGGGGCUGAAGUAGGUCCCAAGGGUAUGGCUGUUCGCCAUUUAAAGUGGUACGCGAGCUGGGUUUAGAACGUCGUGAGACAGUUCGGUCCCUAUCUGCCGUGGGCGCUGGAGAAUUGAGGGGGGCUGCUCCUAGUACGAGAGGACCGGAGUGGACGCAUCACUGGUGUUCGGGUUGUCAUGCCAAUGGCACUGCCCGGUAGCUAAAUGCGGAAGAGAUAAGUGCUGAAAGCAUCUAAGCACGAAACUUGCCCCGAGAUGAGUUCU